GCCCACUCCCCCUGCUUGUGUUCCUGCUCUCGCUGUCUCUGUCUCUGUCAAAUAAAUAAAUAAAUUUAAAAAGAAAAAGAAAAUGUAUCUGAAGUCUGGUGUGGCAGCCACAAUAGCCCCCAGCAAUCGACGCCCUGGCGGUCAGGUCCUUGGGUAAUCUCUUCCCAUGUUAAAUAGGGCUGACCUGGGGGUGACCAGUAGGAUAUGGCAGGAGAGACGGCAUAUGAUUCUUGAGGCUCUGUUGUAAAUGACAUCACAGCUUCAGCCUUCUCUCCUGGGUCACUUACUCUGGGGAAACCAGCCACCGUGUUGUGAGGACACACAAACAGCCCUACAGAGAGGCCUGUGAGAUAAGAAACUGAGGUCACCUGCCAACCAUCAGCGUGAGUGAGCCACCUCCUAGUCCAGCCUCCAAGUGACUGUAAUCCCAACGGACAUGUUGACCACAACCUCAUGAGACAUCCUGAGUCAGAACCCCCAGCUGAGCUGCCCUGAGAUUUCUGAUCCACAGGAGCUGUGAGAGAAGAAAUGUCUAUUAUUUUCAGCUGCUAAGUUUGGGGUCCUCUGUGGCCUAGCAAUAGAUAACUAAUAACUGGGGAUGAGAAUGUGCUGGCAUGGAACAUUUUCAGAAAGCAGUCACAAAGGAGACUACAAGGGUAUAUCCUGCUUCAUCAUCAUGAUGGACAAAUUAAGUUUACAAUUCCUCUGACAGAAAAUACCGGGACUGCUGAGUGCCCCUCCUAAGGCUAGUGAGAGGUCCACCUUUUCUUCUCCUGAGGAGGGACGUGAUUUUACCUUUUUGAAAUGAUAUUUGUGCAGCUCGUUGGUCCCCACGGAAUCUACAAAGUCUCUCACACCUUCCAUCCCCCCUGCCCCCCAAUCUGUUCAGGUUGCACCCACAACCGCAGC
Long non-coding RNA from Mirounga angustirostris (Northern elephant seal), 909 nucleotides. RefSeq lists it as uncharacterized. Lineage: Eukaryota; Metazoa; Chordata; Mammalia; Carnivora; Phocidae. The record is from RefSeq and is a predicted model, not a curated record. The transcript has 3 exons.